Mobula hypostoma (lesser devil ray) is the source of this 1010-nucleotide long non-coding RNA. RefSeq lists it as uncharacterized. The transcript has 3 exons. The record is from RefSeq and is a predicted model, not a curated record. NCBI's taxonomy places the organism in Eukaryota, Metazoa, Chordata, Chondrichthyes, Myliobatiformes, Myliobatidae.
ACAAUAAAAACCUUGUCUUGCAUACUGUUCAUACAGAUCAAAGUCAUUACACAGGGUAUUGAGGUAAAACAAUAACAAAAUAUAACAGCAACAGAGAAUGUGCAGUGCAGGUAAAUUAUAAGGUUCUAAGUGAAUUUAUUAUCGAAGUAUGUAUUUGUCACCAUAUACAAACCUGCGAUUAAUUUUCUUGCUUGCAUUCACAGUAGAACAGAGACACUACAAUCAAUGAAAUACCACACACGAGAUACAUAAACAAUCAAUUUGCUUAAGACAAGCUGUCCAAUUACAAAAAACCCACAAUAAAUAAAUAAAUAAAAUUGAGAACGAGUUGUGCUGUAGUGUCUUGAAAGUGAGUCCUCGAAAGUGAAAGUGAUAAAAUGCUAAAUGGUAACGAGGUACAUUGUGAGUUCAAAAGUCCAUCUUAUUGGACAAGAGGUCUGUCAAGAGCCUUUUGAAGGUGGAAUAGAAGCUUCCCUUAAGUCUGUUUAGUAUUGGAGAGUGAAGACCUUACCAAAGUACGGGAACCUGGAGGAUUGAGUAAAGUUGGUGUUGUUUGGCAGUUUCAUAAAGGAUCUACCUUAUUGAAUCUUCAUUCAGGAAUAGUGGCCUGCAUCUGAGAUAGCCCCUGCAAGAUCAGGAAGGUUUGUGCGGUGUCCACCAUCCAGGAAAAAGUUGGUAUUUUAGCCUUGAAGACAGAGGUCAUGGCAUCCAGGGAAGUCUUGGACGUACCAUCUAUAUCAACAUUUCAGUGCAGUUCUGAGGGAGUGAUGCACUGCGGGAAAUUGGGUGGGAUAUUAAACAAGCUCCAUAUGCUGGAAGAGAUGGAGGCCAAAAUAUUACAAAAGUAGAGGAAGGCAGCCCUUCCACUGGAAUAGAAACAUCUGAGAAAAGUGUGUAUUUUUAUAUCAAAACAAAUACUCAAUAAAAUUUUACAAGAAAAAUUGAGCAAUGCCUUUUCAUUCUUAUAUUCACAGUCAAUGUGUGAAGUUGAGUUCUAAUAUAUUCAUUAA